This 384-nucleotide ribosomal RNA is filed under the name Triticum aestivum (bread wheat). Its description in RNAcentral is "partial small subunit ribosomal RNA". The record is from RNAcentral. Lineage: Eukaryota; Viridiplantae; Streptophyta; Magnoliopsida; Poales; Poaceae.
AUGUUGAAUAACAAAACAGAUUGGAAGAUCUACUCCGCUCUGAAAGAAGUGGUGAAAUUACUUUUCCAUAGCUUGGAACGUCGUGUCUUCCUUCGAUUCCUUAUGCGGGAUAUCCAAUCAAUGAGAAUUCAGGUUAAAGAGGGUCUUUAUCCUCGUCGUAUUCUUUAUAUGGAAAUCCAGGGCCACGGGAUCAUUCCCUUGAUUAGUACUGAUGAUAAAAAAUUUUCCCCACGAGAAAUUGAACAAAAAGUUGCCGAAUUGGCCUAUUUCUUGCGCGUACCAAUUGAAGUAUUUCGAGGUAUCUUUUUUGAACUGAGUUGGAUGAAGAAAAGAAGAGUUGGAAGAAGAAAAGUUUUCUCAACAUGGGGAGAAAGUUCCUUCUAA